Molecule: ribosomal RNA, 253 nt
Filed under: uncultured bacterium
Lineage: Bacteria
Description: partial 16S ribosomal RNA
Rfam family: Bacterial small subunit ribosomal RNA
Source: RNAcentral
UACGUAGGGGGCAAGCGUUGUCCGGAAUCAUUGGGCGUAAAGAGCGUGUAGGCGGCCCGGUAAGUCCGCUGUGAAAGUCCAGGGCUCAACCCUGGAAUGCCGGUGGAUACUGUCGGGCUAGAGUCCGGAAGAGGCAAGUGGAAUUCCUGGUGUAGCGGUGAAAUGCGCAGAUAUCAGGAGGAACACCGAUAGCGAAGGCAGCUGGCUGGGACGGUACUGACGCUGAGACGCGAAAGCGUGGGGAGCAAACAGG